This 141-nucleotide transfer RNA is filed under the name Chryseobacterium indologenes. RNAcentral describes it as "tRNA_Pro_AGG". It matches the Rfam family "tRNA". From Rfam's summary of the family: Transfer RNA (tRNA) molecules are approximately 80 nucleotides in length. Their secondary structure includes four short double-helical elements and three loops (D, anti-codon, and T loops). The record is from RNAcentral. Lineage: Bacteria; Pseudomonadati; Bacteroidota; Flavobacteriia; Flavobacteriales; Weeksellaceae.
GGAGAAGUAGCUCAGCAGGUAGAGCAAAUGCACGAACGAUUCUGGCCUUAUUACCUUGGUUAAAAAAAUAAACAAGUGCCGUAGAAUAGUGUUACUUCGAUCAUCACGACGGGGACACGGGUUCGAGUCCCGUCUCUUCCA